RNAcentral lists this ribosomal RNA (485 nucleotides) under uncultured bacterium. RNAcentral's name for it is "partial 16S ribosomal RNA". It matches the Rfam family "Bacterial small subunit ribosomal RNA", at positions 899 to 1397 of the family's 1533-position model. The record is from RNAcentral.
ACUCAAAUGAAUUGACGGGGGCCCGCACAAGCAGCGGAGCGUGUGGUUUAAUUCGACGCAACGCGAAGAACCUUACCUGGGCUUGACAUGCACGUGGUACGAGGCUGAAAGGCUGAGGACCCGCAAGGGAGCGUGCACAGAUGCUGCAUGGCUGUCGUCAGCUCGUGCCGUGAGGUGUUGGGUUAAGUCCCGCAACGAGCGCAACCCUCGCUGCCAGUUACCAUGUCUGGCGGGACCGCCGGGUCCAACCCGGAGGAAGGUGGGGAUGACGUCAAGUCAGCACGGCUCUUACGUCCAGGGCUACACACACGCUACAAUGGCCGGUACAACGCGCAGCGAUGGGGCGACCCGGAGCGAAUCGCACCAAAGCCGGUCUCAGUUGGGAUUGCAGGCUGCAACUCGCCUGCAUGAACGCGGAGUUGCUAGUAACCGCAGGUCAGCACACUGCGGUGAAUACGUUCCCGGGCCUUGUACACACCGCCCGU